This 254-nucleotide ribosomal RNA is filed under the name uncultured bacterium. RNAcentral describes it as "partial 16S ribosomal RNA". It matches the Rfam family "Bacterial small subunit ribosomal RNA", at positions 524 to 776 of the family's 1533-position model. The record is from RNAcentral.
UACGGGGGGGGCAAGCGUUGUUCGGAAUUACUGGGCGUAAAGGGCUCGUAGGUGGCCAACUAAGUCGGGACGUGAAAUCCCUCGGCUUAACCGGGGAACUGCGUCCGAUACUGGUUGGCUUGAGUUUGGGAGAGGGAUGCGGAAUUCCAGGUGUAGCGGUGAAAUGCGCAGAUAUCAGGAGGAACACCGAUGGCGAAGGCAGCUCGCUGGGACGGUACUGACGCUGAGACGCGAAAGCGUGGGGAGCAAACAGG